This is a long non-coding RNA of Vespa mandarinia (Asian giant hornet), 188 nucleotides long. The record is from RefSeq and is a predicted model, not a curated record. Lineage: Eukaryota; Metazoa; Arthropoda; Insecta; Hymenoptera; Vespidae.
GAAGAAGAAGGAGGAAGGUGUGGCUUUGAAAAAUGAGAAGAAACAUUUAGAAAAUUUAUCAGAAAAAGAAAAAAAAAAGAAAGGAGCGAAGAGACGAGCAAAAAUCUCUGCGUAUGAAGGUCAGGUUGAAAUUUAUGAAGUAAUUCGAAAAAAAAAGGAAGAAGAAGAGGAAGGAGAAGUAGCAGCAG